RNAcentral lists this ribosomal RNA (483 nucleotides) under uncultured bacterium. Its description in RNAcentral is "partial 16S ribosomal RNA". It matches the Rfam family "Bacterial small subunit ribosomal RNA", at positions 28 to 506 of the family's 1533-position model. The record is from RNAcentral.
AUUGAACGCUGGCGGCAUGCUUUACACAUGCAAGUCGAACGGCAGCGCGGGCUUCGGCCUGGCGGCGAGUGGCGAACGGGUGAGUAAUGCAUCGGAACGUGCCCAGUAGUGGGGGAUAGCCCGGCGAAAGCCGGAUUAAUACCGCAUACGACCUGAGGGUGAAAGCGGGGGACCGAAAGGCCUCGCGCUAUUGGAGCGGCCGAUGUCGGAUUAGCUAGUUGGUGGGGUAAAGGCUUACCAAGGCGACGAUCCGUAGCUGGUCUGAGAGGACGACCAGCCAAACGGGGACGGGGACACGGCCCAGACUCCUACGGGAGGCAGCAGUGGGGAAUUUUGGACAAGGGGGGCAACCCUGACCCAGCCAUGCCGCGGGGGGGAAGAAGGCCUUCGGGUUGUAACCCGCUUUUGUUCGGGAAGAAAUCCUCUGGGCUAAUACCCCGGGGGGAUGACGGUACCGGAAGAAGAAGCACCGGCUAACUACGU